ACGGAGAGUUUGAUCCUGGCUCAGGAUGAACGCUGGCGGCGUGCCUAACACAUGCAAGUCGAACGGUACCCUUAUCUUCGGAUUGGGGUACAGUGGCGAACGGGUGAGUAACACGUUGGUGACCUGCCCCGAAGACGGGGAUAACCCUUCGAAAGGAGGGCUAAUACCCGAUGUGCUUACGCCGUUUAGAAGGGCGUAAGUAAAGCUCCGGCGCUUCGGGAGGGGCCAGCGGCCUAUCAGCUAGUUGGUAGGGUAAUGGCCUACCAAGGCGAAGACGGGUAGGGGGCGUGAGAGCGCGGCCCCCCACAAUGGAACUGAGACACGGUCCAUACUCCUUCGGGAGGCAGCAGUGAGGAAUAUUGCACAAUGGGGGAAACCCUGAUGCAGCGACGCCGCGUGGGUGAAGAAGGCCUUCGGGUCGUAAAACCCUUUUCCAGGGGACGAGGCAGGACGGUACCCUGGGAAUAAGUCCCGGCUAACUACGUGCCAGCAGCCGCGGUAAAACGUAGGGGGCGAGCGUUAUCCGGAAUCACUGGGCGUAAAGCGCGUGCAGGCGGUCUGGUAGGUUGGACGUGAAAGCUCCUGGCUUAACUAGGAGAGGCCGUUCAAAACCGCCAGGCUUGAGGGCGGAAGAGGGGAGUGGAAUUCCCGGUGUAGCGGUGGAAUGCGCAGAUAUCGGGAGGAACACCCGUGGCGAAAGCGGCUCCCUGGUCCGCACCUGACGCUCAGACGCGAAAGCGUGGGGAGCGAACGGGAUUAGAUACCCCGGUAGUCCACGCUGUAAACGAUGGAUGCUAGGUGUGGGAGGUCUUGACCCCUUCCGUGCCGUAGCUAACGCGUUAAGCAUCCCGCCUGGGGACUACGGCCGCAAGGUUAAAACUCAAAGGAAUUGACGGGGGCCCGCACAAGCAGCGGAGCGUGUGGUUUAAUUCGAUGCUACACGAAGAACCUUACCUGGGCUUGACAUGUACGUGGUAGGGAAGCGAAAGCGGACCGACCCUUCGGGGAGCGUACACAGGUGCUGCAUGGCUGUCGUCAGCUCGUGCCGUGAGGUGUUGGGUUAAGUCCCGCAACGAGCGCAACCCUCGCCGUUAGUUACAUGUGUCUAACGGGACUGCCGGUUUCAAACCGGAGGAAGGUGGGGAUGACGUCAAGUCAGCAUGGCCUUUAUGUCCAGGGCUACACACACGCUACAAUGGCCGGUACAAUGGGCUGCUACACCGCGAGGUGAUGCAAAUCUCCAAAGCCGGCCUCAGUUCAGAUUGCAGUCUGCAACUCGACUGCAUGAAGGCGGAGUUGCUAGUAACCGCGCGUCAGCCAUAGUGCGGUGAAUACGUUCCCGGGCCUUGUACACACCGCCCGUCACGUCAUGGGAGCUGGUAACACCUGAAGUCGGUGCGCCAACCGUAAGGGGGCAGCCGCCUAAGGUGGGACCGGUGACUGGGACGAAGUCGUAACAAGGUAGCCGUAGCGGAAGCUGCGGCUGGAUCACCUCCUUUCUA
RNAcentral lists this ribosomal RNA (1502 nucleotides) under Anaerolineae bacterium. RNAcentral describes it as "bacterial SSU rRNA". It matches the Rfam family "Bacterial small subunit ribosomal RNA". The record is from RNAcentral. Lineage: Bacteria; Bacillati; Chloroflexota; Anaerolineae.